UAUCAGAUGAGCUCGGUUUGUGCCAUGCGGACCUGCACACACACACACACACACGUUCACACACACAGUCGCUCACACACACCACGCUGGCCAGCAAUAGGCUGGUGCAGUCGAUUCCCAGUGAAGACACGGAUCUGAGACAGAGGGAGAGAUCAGGAUGGGUGUUACAGGAGAAAUGAAGGAGGACGAGGCUGCGUAAGACAGCGCUGAGAGAUAAAGCGAGGGUGGGUGAGCAGAAGGGAGGAGAGGAGAGAGGAGAGGAGACAGCACCAGCCUCAGCAGGUUUGUGAGGGAGAACUAGAAGAAAAUCUGGCGAGAUAAAGUGCUUGUGAUGUUGCGUGGGGAUGAUGCUGAAUAUCAGCGCCGCUAUCACACUCUGGGCAGCAACACACGCCGCCUCUCCAACCCCGACAUGGAGGCCUAUGCUAAGCUCCACAAGAGCGGCGACAUGGAGCAUCAGAGAAACAAAUACCCUCCGCAGCACGCCGCCACGCUGGUCAACACCAACUGCGCACGACAGCAGCAGCCACAUUACUGGAGUUUUAAGGCGCGGACUCCACGCGGCGCUGCGGGGCUGCAGCAGCAGUCGCUGGGCGAGCAGGUAGGAGGGCGACUGUGUUAUGCGUCUGCGGAGAGUUUGGAAAGCAUGGCCGACGCUGAGCUGCCGCUGGGCUUCAGUCGCUCCAACAUCCUCAGACAGAGUCUUCCUCUGGCACGAUCGCCCAGCCAGGCUAAACUGAGAGCGCCAGCGGUGCUGUUCUUGCAGUUCGGUGACGAGACGCGGCGGGUGCACAUCACUCAUGAGCUGACCAGCAUGGAGACGCUUCACGCACUCAUCGUGCACAUGUUCCCUCAGAAACUGACGAUGGGCGCGUUGCGUUCGCCCGGCACGGCUCUGCUCAUCAAGGACGAGGCACGCAACAUCUUCUAUGAGCUGGAGGACCCUCGUGACAUCCACGACCGGUGUCUCAUCAAGAUUUACUGUAGAGAGGCUCCGAUACGAGACCCACACUACAGUGCUCAACACACGGCCCACCCCGUACACCACGCACACAUCGCCAACGGAGACCUGCGGAGAGAGCUGGUGUACACCUCGAGGGAAUCGUCUCCCACACGACGUUUAAACACACUCCCGUCUUCCUCUUCUCCCUCUGGAUCUCCGUCACGCUCGCAAUCGCGUCUUUCUUACACGGGUGGGCGUCCUUCCUCUUACGCCGGACCCCAUCCGUCGCCUCAGCUCCACCCCUAUCAGCAACACCACGCCCACCCUGGAGGCCACGCUCCCCAGCAGUCUGGCCACACCCACCCUGCAUUUUGCCCCUCCCCAAGUGCCAUUCUAGAACGGCGUGAUGUGAAACCGGACGAGGAAAUUGCAUCGUCCUCGAAAAGCGUGGUGUUGCUAAAAAACGAAGCGAUAUACGCAGACCCUUAUUCGCUAGUCCAGGAUCCUCGGCUCAGCGUGGCUUCGCCGCAGGCUAUGGCGUACCGCCGUGGAUCUGUGCGCUCUAUUGGUGGCUACCCCGCCGCGGCAUUGCAAUGUGAGCUCGAGGGCGCCCUCUACAGGCCUGGUGGUCCUAUAUACGCAGAUCCAUAUGCUACGAUGGGUUUCCGCACCUUACCUCCAGCCUCGCCUCAAAAACUGUCUGAUGGCAGGGAUCCGUAUGGGAGCCACCCGGGACGAGGGUCCCCUGGGAGACAUGGGUUUCGUAAAGAUGGCACUGUGUACAUAGAGAGUCCCAAGAAUCGUCCAGGAGGGCCACCUCUGGAGCAGAUAUGCAUGCUUGGGGGCCCCGGAGGAGAUGGAGGGCCGAUGCCAGUGUACGGCUCAACAUUACCUGGUAACGAAGAGACCAGAGAGCGGAUGGAGGCCAUGGAGAAGCAGAUAGCCAGUUUAACCGGACUGGUUCAGAGUGUUUUGACCCGAGGACCAGACAGCCCUGAGAAAGCAGAAACAGCGAGCGACUGCUCUGCACCAGAGACUGGAAGGUUUAGAAAACAAAAAGUGUCGUCGCCGUCUGCUCCUUUGGCCCUCAUGCCGCCUCCGCCAACUGCAGCAUCUCAGCCAAUAGCAAUGUCCCGUUUCCAAAUGCAGCUGCACCUGACUGACCUGCAGCAGCACACAGCUGAACUGCGCAAACAGCUGACACAACUGCGUCAGUUACAGUUGCAGAAUCAGGACUCUGUUCAGGCGUUACUGAGGCAGACGGAGUCUGAUUUGGGGAUGUGUCUGAUCGAGGCGUCUCGCACGCAAGAAGAUCCAUUACAGCGUCAGCGUCUUCUCGUUGAGGAGGAGAGGCUACGCUAUCUUAAUGAAGAAGAACUUAUUAUACAACAGCUACACGAUCUCGAGCGCUCAGUGGAGGAGAUGAAGACGGGGGCGGGGCUUAACCAUCACCUGGUGACCGAACAGGAAAUAGAACAGAAGAGUCUGGAGCUCAGGAGACUCGGAGAGACCGUCACAGACCUCAAGAAUCAGUUCCCCACUUUACAAAGUAAGAUGCGUGUGGUGUUGAGGGUGGAGGUGGAAGCCGUCAAGUUUUUGAAAGAGGAACCGCUAAGACUGGAGGCCCUGUUGAAACGCUGCAGAAACAUCACCAAUACACUCACUCUACUACGAAGGCAGGUAUCAGAAGGUGUGUGGAGGACACCCGAGGACUUCAGUAGUUCAGUUUCCAGCGCGAGUGACGCUGACUUCAGCAGGAGCUCUGAUCUAGAUAUUCUCAACAGCCCUUCUCUAAAUCUGCCCGACCUCGGGGGCACCUUAUCGGCCACUGCCACUCUUUCUGCCUCCCUUGGCACUCAUACCACAAAUCCUGGCCUGACGAGUGCGUCUAGUAUAGGAGGCACCACUAGUCUAUCUAACAUGCUCGGCUCCACCGUUGGUGCCAGUAUGAGCAGCGGUGGUUUUCCUGGCAGCACCACGCUGGGUAACUGGCUGGCUGGAGCCGGGGUAACAGAUCCCAUCAUGUCUGAACUGGACGGCACCUCCACAGGUCCAAUAAAGACCAGCGGCUUGGAAGAUCUGCCUGCACGCAGAGAAUCUGACAAAGGAGUGUCCGUGGAGGUCCGACUGGCUGCAGAGCGAGACUGGGAGGAGAAGAGAGCCAGUUUGACUCAGUUCAGCGCUCAAGACAUCAAUCGUCUGCUGGAGGAAACUCAAGCUGAGCUGAUGAAGGCCAUUCCAGAUCUGGACUUCGCCGCCAAGCAGAUCACGAAACCGGCUGUACCGCCAAAACCCCAGAUGUCCUCCCUCCCAGCGCCCGGCUCAACAUCCUCCACUCCUAGCUUAACACCUGAACAUCAGCCCAGCAAAACCCCACCAAAACCACCCAGCAAAGACGGCAUCCCACGCAGGGGAUCAGGGGAGUUGACAGUGCCACGGUAUCGUACAGAGAAGCCGUCCAAGUCUCCACCCCCUCCUCCUCCGCGACGGAGUUUCCCAUCAGGCCUUGGGCUCACGACCAACAGCAGUGGAGAAGUCAUCACCAUAAACAAGAGUGUGAAGAAGAUGGAGAACAGAGAGGAAGCUGAAGUACCGACUCAAUCCCAGACGCCUCCCGUCAAACUGAGACGUCCGUCGACCUCCGACGGGCCCCGACCGUCAUCCACACCUCCGGUCAUCGCUGCUUCUGGGAUGAAGGAAGAUGAGGAUGAAGAUGAGAAGAUAAUGGCAGAGCUGGAGGCGUUUCAGAGAGCCCCAGUGAGACUGAGGGUCACUGCUGAGGCCCAAAGCCCUGCUGAGGUCACUCCUAACAAUGUUGACAGGGCAGGCCAGUGGAUCAGCAACUCUCUGUGGAGAGAGCCUGUAGGCACUCCUCCGGGCUCCGCCAAACUGGUGCAGCCAUCUGCCGCGUCCCGUCUGCGGCACCUGCAGCAGAGCAGCCUGGAGCGCCGCAGCAGGAAACAGCAGGAGGAAUUCCCAAAGCUCCAGCAGGGUCAGCAGCAGGUUGACUAUCGCAUUAACUCUGAGGAAAGACUGUCUCCUGGUGGCCAUUGUAUGUAUAACAAAAGGAGGAAGGUAAAGGCACUAGUUUCUCUCAGGCUAUGCAUUGCUAAAUGUUUAGUGGGCACAUUAGAAAUGACAAUGUACUGAUUAUUCUUUCUUUUCUCUUCUCUUAUCCACUCACCUGUCCUAACUUGCUUGUAUUUUAUCCCAAGUCCAUCCUUUCCUGACCUCUUCUUCUCAUGCUGAGGUUAUAAUAGCCCAGCACCUGUAUUUUUGACACAUAUAUUGUUAAGACUAGCCCCUAUCUAUUCCUGCUGUCAUGCAUUUUUCCUUUACAAGUAAAUAUAGUUAUAACACUUGUUGAAAAGUAAAUAAAUAGGAUUUUAAUUCUGUUUAGGAUUAUGAUUAAGAAUUUAAUUGACUUUAAACUAUUGUAUGAGUCUGAUUUCAUAGAGGAAGGAAAUAUAUUUUCCUUUUCUGCCUCACGGCCUCAGAUUGUCUUAGCAUUGCCAAUCAAUUUUUUGUAGCGGCAUGUUGACUAUCAGCCUCCAAGUACUGCCCUGAGUGGUCCUACAUGCCCCCCCUUUACCCUGAGAUCUGAUCCUGUCUAAGGUGAACGCUUCAUGGCGACGAUGACCCUAGAAACCAGGGGAAGCACAGGUGACCUCUGAGCCUAAAUCAUCUCCCAGCUAAAGCACAACACCUCAGUACUGAAGAGCUCUGACGAAGUGGAUCUGAAGUGUGAGAGCGGCUUUCAUUUCAAAGCAUAUAUUUUGUUACGUAACAUUUGACAGCACAUUACACUGUACGUGUGAAGCACUUUGUGUCACUGGGACGUAUUAGCAACGUAUGAUAAAUAACCAGUUGGCGGUGAAUAAUAAACUGCUAUCGACUGUUGAGAUCAAUAUUCUCAUUCAUAUUUAAUGGAUCCCCAAGGGUUUGCAAACAACUGCCCCACUGCCAUUGUUUUUCCCAUUUUCUGCUAAGAAAUAUAUAUAUAUAUAGCUACAGUAUAUACAAGACGCUGUAGUUUGGUUUGGUGGUCGUGUCCAUCAGAUCCCUGAUACAUACCUCAUAACGUUCUUUUUCGUGUCUUAAAAUGACUUCAUUGAAGUAGAAUAGACCCAAACUCUGAUGUGACACACGUCCGAGCACCAUAUGCUGUGUUAAAACACUGAGAAACGUCCAAAAUAUAUGUACAGAGAAACUGUGGAACUGUAUAUAAACUGUAUGAUCAUGGAUAUGUUCAUUUAGGGUAUUUUUUGUAAGCUUUUUUUUUCUACCAAAAGCGUUUGAGAGAUCUGAACUGCAUGUAGAUAUCCUCUCAAAGUCUGCAUGCAGAAUCCUCUCUCUGUAAGUUCUGUUUACAAGUGUAAGAUAGAUGGAUUUCUGUAUUAAUAAAGAGAUUUUUUUUUAAUAAAUAUAGUUGUAUGUGAGUAGACGGGUCAAUCGGAUCCUAUUCACUGUUGUCUGAUCUGUAACAAACCAUUCAAGCAUUCCAAACCUCUGAAUUUAACAUGUCCAAAAAAAGAAAAGAAAAACAUUUUUCAUUAAUGCUACAUAUAGAAUGUAUAUAAAUCUAUCGACGACGACGACUUGUGAUAAAACAAUAACAGUGUGAAUGCAAUGUUGACCAAUAGAAAUAUAUCUAUAUGGAAAUGUUAUAAUGCAAAAUUUGUUUUAAUGUUGAAAAAAAAACCUUGUCUGGUUGUGUAUGUACAAGAGACUGUUGGUUUUGAAUGUUCUUGUGCUGUUUUUGUGACUAUUAAAGUGAAUAUCUUCUA
Onychostoma macrolepis is the source of this 5730-nucleotide RNA transcript. It is a transcript of the gene named SRC kinase signaling inhibitor 1b, with no coding region annotated. The record is from RefSeq and is a predicted model, not a curated record. Lineage: Eukaryota; Metazoa; Chordata; Actinopteri; Cypriniformes; Cyprinidae. The transcript is spliced from 22 exons.